UGCGAGUCGAGAGGGUUCGGCCCUCGGCUGACGGCUCAGUAACACGUGGAUAAUCUGCCCUUAGGUGGAGGAUAAUCUCGGGAAACUGAGGAUAAUACUCCAUAGGUCUAAGAUGCUGGAAUGCACCUAGGCUCAAAACCCCGGUGCCUAAGGAUGAGUCUGCGGACUAUCAGGUUGUAGUCAGGGUAAUGACCUGACUAGCCUACGACGGAUACGGGUUGUGAGAGCAAUAACCCGGAGAUGAUAUCUGAGACACGAUAUCAGGCCCUACGGGGCGCAGCAGGCGCGAAAACUUCACAAUGUGCGAAAGCACGAUGAGGGAAUCCCAAGUGCUUGCACGUAAGUGUAAGCUGUUUCUUUGUUUAAAACGCAUUGAGAGUAAGGGCUGGGUAAGACGGGUGCCAGCCGCCGCGGUAAUACCUGCAGCUCAAGUGGUGGCCGCUAUUAUUGGGCCUAAAACGUCCGUAGCCGGUUUAUUAAAUGCCUGGGUAAAUCGUGUAGCUUAACUAUACGAAUUCCGGGUAGACUGAUAAACUUGAGAUCGGGAGAAGUUAGAGGUACUCCUGGGGUAGAGGUGAAAUUCUGUAAUCCUAGGGGGACCACCAGUGGCGAAGGCGUCUGACUAGAACGGGUCUGACGGUGAGGGACGAAGCCCUGGGGCGCAAACCGGAUUAGAUACCCGGGUAGUCCAGGGUGUAAACGCUGCUUGCUUGAUGUUAGUCGGGCUCCGAGCCCGAUUAGUGUCGGAGAGAAGUUGUUAAGCAAGCUGCCUGGGAAGUACGGUCGCAAGACUGAAACUUAA
RNAcentral lists this ribosomal RNA (802 nucleotides) under uncultured euryarchaeote. Its description in RNAcentral is "bacterial SSU rRNA". It matches the Rfam family "Archaeal small subunit ribosomal RNA", at positions 52 to 859 of the family's 1478-position model. The record is from RNAcentral. Lineage: Archaea; Methanobacteriati; Methanobacteriota.